Molecule: small RNA, 2378 nt
Filed under: Pan troglodytes (chimpanzee)
Lineage: Eukaryota; Metazoa; Chordata; Mammalia; Primates; Hominidae
Description: retained intron
Source: RNAcentral
GAUCCCUGCUGGCGGUUGUGGUGCUGCUUGCGCUGCCGGUGGCCUGGGGUCAAUGCAAUGCCCCAGAAUGGCUUCCAUUUGCCAGGCCUACCAACCUAACUGAUGAGUUUGAGUUUCCCAUUGGGACAUAUCUGAACUAUGAAUGCCGCCCUGGUUAUUAUGGAAGACCGUUUUCUAUCAUCUGCCUAAAAAACUCAGUCUGGACUGGUGCUAAGGACAGGUGCAGACGUAAAUCAUGUCGUAAUCCUCCAGAUCCUGUGAAUGGCAUGGUGCAUGUGAUCAAAGACAUCCAAUUCGGAUCCCAAAUUAAAUAUUCUUGUACUAAAGGAUACCGACUCAUUGGUUCCUCGUCUGCCACAUGCAUCAUCUCAGGUGAUACUGUCAUUUGGGAUAAUGAAACACCUAUUUGUGACAGAAUUCCUUGUGGGCUACCCCCCACCAUCACCAAUGGAGAUUUCAUUAGCACCAACAGAGAGAAUUUUCACUAUGGAUCAGUGGUGACCUACCGCUGCAAUCCUGGAAGCGGAGGGAGAAAGGUGUUUGAGCUUGUGGGUGAGCCCUCCAUAUACUGCACCAGCAAUGACGAUCAAGUGGGCAUCUGGAGCGGCCCGGCACCUCAGUGCAUUAUACCUAACAAAUGCACGCCUCCAAAUGUGGAAAAUGGAAUAUUGGUAUCUGACAACAGAAGCUUAUUUUCCUUAAAUGAAGUUGUGGAGUUUAGGUGUCAGCCUGGCUUUGUCAUGAAAGGACCCCCCCGUGUGAAGUGCCAGGCCCUGAACAAAUGGGAGCCGGAGCUACCAAGCUGCUCCAGGGUAUGUCAGCCACCUCCAGAUGUCCUGCAUGCUGAGCGUACCCAAAGGGACAAGGACAACUUUUCACCCGGGCAGGAGGUGUUCUACAGCUGUGAGCCCGGCUACGACCUCAGAGGGGCUGCGUCUCUGCGCUGCACACCCCAGGGAGACUGGAGCCCUGCAACCCCCACAUGUGAAGUGAAAUCCUGUGAUGGCUUCAUGGGCCAACUUCUUAAUGGCCGUGUGCUAUUUCCAGUAAAUCUCCAGCUUGGAGCAAAAGUGGAUUUUGUUUGUGAUGAAGGAUUUCAAUUAAAAGGCAGCUCUGCUAGUUACUGUGUCUUGGCUGGAAUGGAAAGCCUUUGGAAUAGCAGUGUUCCAGUGUGUGAACAAAUCUUUUGUCCAAGUCCUCCAGUUAUUCCUAACGGGAGACACACAGGAAAACCUCUGGAAGUCUUUCCCUUUGGAAAAGCAGUAAAUUACACAUGCGACCCCCACCCAGACAGAGGGACGACCUUCGACCUCAUUGGAGAGAGCACCAUCCGCUGCACAAGUGACCCUCAAGGGAAUGGGGUUUGGAGCAGCCCUGCCCCUCGCUGUGGAAUUCUGGGUCACUGUCAAGCCCCGGAUCAUUUUCUGUUUGCUAAGCUCAAAACACAAACCAAUGCAUCUGACUUUCCCAUUGGGACAUCUUUAAAGUAUGAAUGCCGUCCUGAGUACUACGGGAGGCCAUUCUCUAUCACAUGUCUAGAUAACCUGGUCUGGUCCAGUCCCAAAGAUGUCUGUAGACGUAAAUCAUGUAAAACUCCUCCAGAUCCAGUGAAUGGCAUGGUGCAUGUGAUCACAGACAUCCAGGUUGGAUCCAGAAUCAACUAUUCUUGUACUACAGGGUGAGUUGGCAGCAACAUCUCUUGGUUCAAGAGUUUCAGCAUAGCAAUACUACCUUCUAGCCACAUUUCAGGAAGGAAACUAGGUUAUUGCCACCUGCUCUUAAGAGGCUUGAACACAGGUGUUAACUCCUGAUUGAAAUGAACAAAGAUAGGAGAAGAUUAGGGGAAAAAUCUGUGUCCUUGCUGGAAACCAGGGCAGUGCACAUAUAAAGAGUACGCCGUUCACUGGAUGGGGAGGAAAAAAAAUUAGAAGUGUAGUACUCAAAGCACACAAACAACCCUAACCCAGAGUAGACAUUGCUGGAAAAAAGGGAAGACCAUGUAGCAGCUGUGUGAGAGAACGAAUCUUAAUGAUAACAGCAGGAUCCCUUGCUAGUGCUGCCAUCAAAAAGUACAGGCCUUCCUCAUUUUAUUGCACUUUGUGGAUGUUACGCUUUUUACAAAUUGAAGGUUUGUGGCAACGCUGCAACAAGCAUGUCGGUUGGCAUCAUUUAUCCAACAGUGUGUGUUGACUUCGUGUCUCUGUGUAGCAUUUUGGUUAUUCUCACAAUAUCCCGGAUGUUUUCAUUAUUAUCAUGUCUGUGAUAGUGAUCUGUCAUCAGUGAUCUUUGAUGUUACUAUUGUCAUUGUUUGGGGUCCCUACGAACUGCACCCAUAUAAGACAGAAAACUUAAUCAAUAAAUGUGCGUGCUUUGACUGC